UACAGAGAGGCCGUUGCUUGCCUAAAGGCACACAAGCCUGCAAGUGACUUGGCUAACCUGCAGUGUGACACUCGGACACACUUAGGAGACAAGGAGGGGGGCAAGGAAGACAGCUAAUGGGAACACACAGAACCAACGUCUCAAGCUCCCACACAGUAGCACAGGGUGAGCAUUUACUGGAUGUUUACAAUGACACACUGGCACAGUGAAGGCUGUUGUGCCCCCACGCCAGAGCUUGCAAGGUCUCUGUUGUGAGCUCUAGGGACGAGGCAUUUGUGCUGAUUCAGGAGAUGAGCAGAGAGCAGGGGCAGAGAUUGGAUUCUGAUGAUGCUAUCACUGAUGACCACACUGGAGGGGACAGCAGAAGCUGGAGAACUGUCUUGGGAAAGUGGUGCUGAGUGUAUGGAAUAAUUCACACAAGGUCACCCAAUGAGGUGCCCCUACCUCAAGACCCCCUACAGAGCACUCUCAGGGUCUCCAGGGCUCUGGCUAUGGUGUGAAGCUGGGCCUGCUGCUGCUGAAAGAAUAUCAUUCCUUAAGGAGAGAAAGGAGACCAUACAGACAGUUUGAGAGCAAGUAUUAACAGCACUGUGGGGUUAGACUCAGGGACAAGCUUAGUCCCUGACUGCAGGGACUCAGGACAACUGACCUCACCCUGAGAUUCCUUUUACAAGGAUCCUUUGGACAG
Molecule: non-coding RNA, 688 nt
Organism: Peromyscus maniculatus bairdii (prairie deer mouse)
Lineage: Eukaryota; Metazoa; Chordata; Mammalia; Rodentia; Cricetidae
Source: RefSeq, a predicted model, not a curated record